Coregonus clupeaformis (lake whitefish) is the source of this 882-nucleotide long non-coding RNA. RefSeq lists it as uncharacterized. The record is from RefSeq and is a predicted model, not a curated record. NCBI's taxonomy places the organism in Eukaryota, Metazoa, Chordata, Actinopteri, Salmoniformes, Salmonidae. The transcript is spliced from 2 exons.
AUUGUUGUUAAGUGUGUUGGUAUUGCAGCAUAGAUACUUGUUAUUGUUGUAAAGUGUGUCGGUAUUUCAGCAUAAAUACUUGUUAUUGUUGUUAAGUAUGUUGGUAUUGCAGCAUAGAUACUUGUCGUUGUUAAGUGUGUUGGUAUUGCAGCAUAGAUACUUGUUGUUGUUGUUAAGUGUGUUGGUGUCCUUGACCUCUGUGUACAUAACGCCUCAGUAAAGUGUGACAGGAUGAAAUCUCAGAAGGUCCGUAGGAGACCCGAGUCCUGCCACGCAUACCACCCUCAGGAAAACGCCAAGGAGUGUGGAGGUGCAUCACAGAUCUACCCGUCUGUCUCUCUCUUCCUCACCUGUCUCACUGCCUCCUUCGCCUGUCUCAAGGCCUCCACGCUGGUCUUCCGAUGACAGACAGACAGCUACCUAGCCUAAACCCUGACCCCCUCUGAAUCGGAAUCUCCCUGGAGGAUUCCAGAAUGCCUGAACAUAGCAUGCCUGCUACUGCUUGCGUUAUCUUUAUCAAUCAAUAUGACUUAAGUUAUGAUAUUGAUCAUUUGGGUUGUUGGACUGAAAGGAAUAUGGCAGCUGAACAGAGAGCUGUUGAUUGACUCCAUGCUUGAUGACUUUACAAUCACAGAGAGCUGAUGACUCCAGAUGCUUGAUGACUUUCAAUCACAACCGCCAAAGUUGUGCUUAUUUGGACAACAAUUCUAAAACCAUGAAAGGGCUUUUAGAUUUUUUAUUCUUCUUCAGUGUCUUAUAAGAGAACAUUAUAGUGUUUCUAUGCAAAAGGAAACAUGCUUUCUUUGACCGUGGAAAGAUCCAGUAUCUCCUAUACGUAUUCCAAAGGACUUGACUUUGCAAUAGGACCAUGGAAGACUAUCA